Molecule: unclassified non-coding RNA, 200 nt
Filed under: Oidiodendron sp.
Lineage: Eukaryota; Fungi; Ascomycota; Leotiomycetes; Myxotrichaceae
Description: partial internal transcribed spacer 2
Source: RNAcentral
UUAAGUUCAGCGGGUAUCCCUACCUGAUCCGAGGUCAACCACAGAGUUGGGGUUCUGGCAGGCCACCGCCGGGCGCUGGAGCGAGAGUUGUACUACGCUCAGAGCCAGGCGGCACCGCCACUGUCUUUAGGGCCGGCCGCGACGGGCAGGGCCCAACACCAAGCAGGGCUUGAGGGUUGAAAUGACGCUCGAACAGGCAU